AACGAACGUUAGCGGCGCGCCUAACACAUGCAAGUCGAACGCGACAGGGGCAACUCUGUUGAGUGGCGCACGGGUGAGUAACACGUAGGUAAUCUCCCCCCGAGUGGUGGAUAACCUUCCGAAAGGAGGGCUAAUACAGCAUAAGACCACGGCUCCGAAAGGAGCUGAGGUCAAAGCGGAGGACCGCAAGACUGCGCGCUUGGGGAGGAGCCUGCGGCCCAUCAGGUAGUUGGCGGGGUAACAGCCCACCAAGCCUAAGACGGGUAGCUGGUCUGAGAGGAUGAUCAGCCACACUGGAACUGAGACACGGUCCAGACUCCUACGGGAGGCAGCAGUGGGGAAUCUUGCGCAAUGGACGAAAGUCUGACGCAGCGACGCCGCGUGGGUGAUGAAGGCCUUCGGGUUGUAAAGCCCUGUGGGGAGGGACGAAUAAGUUUCAGCUAAUACCUGAAGCGAUGACGGUACCUCCUUAGCAAGCACCGGCUAACUCUGUGCCAGCAGCCGCAGUAA
This 510-nucleotide ribosomal RNA is filed under the name uncultured bacterium. RNAcentral's name for it is "partial 16S ribosomal RNA". It matches the Rfam family "Bacterial small subunit ribosomal RNA", at positions 29 to 523 of the family's 1533-position model. The record is from RNAcentral.